UGUUUGUGCUUUAUACUAUGCACAGGACAUCGGAGUUCAUAUGGCAGCGGUGUGACAACAUUCGGCAUCAUCGUGCUGGUGCUGUUGUUUGUGCUUGCUGUUGCCUGCCUCCUCAAGUUUGUUGUCUGCAACUGUCUAUUUUGCUGCAGGAACCAGCAACAACCAUCGCCUCCACGAAAACAUUCCAGGAAAUACAACUACCUCACUGUGGGUUACCUCAAAGACAAUGAGACACAAGCUCUUCUUGCACCGGGCAAGCGUCCUCCCAGCUACUCAGAAGCCACCCGGGUACCACAGAUCACCAUUUCCGAUUACUCAUCCCUUUCUCACCCCACCACGAUGGCCUACACAAGCACGUGACCCAAGCGUAUUGCAGAGCAGCCGAUGGAUCACCGUUGUAUGCAAUCACUGUAAAUAGAG
Molecule: long non-coding RNA, 420 nt
Organism: Rhipicephalus sanguineus (brown dog tick)
Lineage: Eukaryota; Metazoa; Arthropoda; Arachnida; Ixodida; Ixodidae
Exons: 4
Source: RefSeq, a predicted model, not a curated record